CCUACGGGUGGCUGCAGUGGGGAAUUUUGGGCAAUGGGCGCAAGCCUGACCCAGCAACGCCGCGUGAAGGAUGAAAUCCCUCUGGGAUGUAAACUUCGAAAGUCGGGAAAGAAAUCGCCAUGGAUAACACCCGUGGUGGAUGACGGUACCCGACGUAAGCCCCGGCUAACUACGUGCCAGCAGCCGCGGUAAUACGUAGGGGGCAAGCGUUGUCCGGAAUUACUGGGCGUAAAGGGCGCGUAGGCGGCAUGAAAGCCCGGGGCUCAACCCCGGAACUGCUUUCGAAACUGCCAAGCUAGAGUACGGAAGGGGCAACUGGAAUUCCCAGUGUAGCGGUGAAAUGCGUAGAUAUUGGGAAGAACACCGGAGGCGAAGGCGGGUUGCUGGGCCGAUACUGACGCUCAUGCACGAAAGCGUGGGGAGCAAACAGGAUUAGAUACCCUGGUAGUC
This 450-nucleotide ribosomal RNA is filed under the name uncultured bacterium. Its description in RNAcentral is "partial 16S ribosomal RNA". It matches the Rfam family "Bacterial small subunit ribosomal RNA", at positions 338 to 795 of the family's 1533-position model. The record is from RNAcentral.